RNAcentral lists this small RNA (388 nucleotides) under Spinacia oleracea (spinach). Its description in RNAcentral is "5' ureB small RNA". It matches the Rfam family "5' ureB small RNA". Lineage: Eukaryota; Viridiplantae; Streptophyta; Magnoliopsida; Caryophyllales; Amaranthaceae. The record is from Rfam by way of RNAcentral.
CUUCAGAAGCUAAUUGAGGACAUAUGAAAUGAACAUGACAGUCUAUAGCCCCUGCUGUAACAAUCAUUCCUUCUCCAGCAAUCACCUCCGUAUUAACCUGAUAUAUUUUACAGUCAAAAUCCUAAACGCACGAUGUAGGUGAAACAAAAAACAAAACAUAAAUUCCAUCAAUUCAAAUAGCAACUUUUACCCCAAUGAUCAUGUUGGCCGACACACCAUCCAUUAUAUCUGGAUUUCCCGCUUUUCCAAGGGCAAUAAUAUCACCACCCUUUAUACCGAUAUCUGCCUUAAAUAUUCCAGUGUAAUCAAUGAUCGUGGCAUUAGUUAUAACAGUGUCCAGAGAGGCAGCUGAUGGGUACCCAGACGCCUGGCCCAUCCCAUCCCUCAG